CUAAACUACACAAGAUAUACCCAACAGUGUCUCCCCUAUGCUGGAGAUGUGGAGUGGAGACAGGCACAAUGAAGCACAUUUGGUGGGCCUGCACUGGCAUGACACCUCUAUGGGAAGAUGUCCGCGCACUGGCGGCACAGUUGGGGCUUCCAGACUUCUCCCCAACCAUUUCCAGCUGCAUACUAUUCCUACCAGAUGCUAGGGUACAGCCGACCCAACGACAAC
Pelobates cultripes (western spadefoot toad) is the source of this 225-nucleotide non-coding RNA. The record is from the annotation of a GenBank genome assembly. Lineage: Eukaryota; Metazoa; Chordata; Amphibia; Anura; Pelobatidae.